RNAcentral lists this small nuclear RNA (103 nucleotides) under Octodon degus (degu). Lineage: Eukaryota; Metazoa; Chordata; Mammalia; Rodentia; Octodontidae. The record is from RNAcentral.
UUGUUUUAGUAGCCCUUGUACUAAAAUUGGAAUGAUACAGAGAAGAUGAGCAUGGACCCUGUACAAGGGUGGCACAGAAAUUAAUGUAGAGUUCCACAAUUUU